Molecule: ribosomal RNA, 260 nt
Filed under: Picipes badius
Lineage: Eukaryota; Fungi; Basidiomycota; Agaricomycetes; Polyporales; Polyporaceae
Description: partial 18S ribosomal RNA
Rfam family: Eukaryotic small subunit ribosomal RNA
Source: RNAcentral
GGAUAGAGCAUUGCAAUUAUUGCUCUUCAACGAGGAAUUCCUAGUAAGCGUGAGUCAUCAGCUCGCGUUGAUUACGUCCCUGCCCUUUGUACACACCGCCCGUCGUUACUACCGAUUGAAUGGCUUAGUGAGGUCUUGGGAUCGGCUUCGGGGAGUCGGCAACGACACCCUGUCGCUGAAAACUUGAUCAAACUUGGUCAUUUAGAGGAAGUACAAGUCGUAACAAGGUUUCCGUAGGUGAACCUGCGGAAGGAUCAUUA